ACGGCGAGUGAAGCGGCAACAGCUCAAAUUUGAAAUCUGGCCUCUUUGGGGUCCGAGUUGUAAUUUGUAGAGGAUGUUUCGGGUACCGCCCCGGUCUAAAUUUCUUGGAACAGAAUGUCAAAGAGGGUGAGAAUCCCGUCUUGGACCGGUGGUAGGGCUCAUGUGAAACUCCUUCGACGAGUCGAGUUGUUUGGGAAUGCAGCUCAAAAUGGGUGGUAAAUUUCAUCUAAAGCUAAAUAUUGGCCAGAGACCGAUAGCGCACAAGUAGAGUGAUCGAAAGAUGAAAAGCACUUUGAAAAGAGAGUUAAACAGUAUGUGAAAUUGUUGAAAGGGAAGCGCUUACAACCAGACUUGAGCGCGGCGGUUCCCCCUUCCUUCUGGUUGGGUUAUUCCGUCGUGUCCAGGCCAACAUCGGUUCUGGGGGCCGGUUAAAGACCUUGGGAAUGUACCUACUCCUUCGGGUGUAGACUUAUAGCUCAGGGUGUCAUGCGGCCUCCCGGGACCGAGGAACGCGCUUCGGCUCGGAUGUUGGCGUAAUGGUUGUCAGCGACCCGUCUUGAAACACGGACCAAGGAGUCUAACAUCUAUGCGAGUGUUUGGGUGUCAAACCCGGAACGCGGAAUGAAAGUGAACGGAGGUAGGAAGCCGUUAGGCUGCACUAUCGACCGAUCCUGAUGUCUUCGGAUGGAUUUGAGUAAGAGCAUAACUGUUGGGACCCGAAAGAUGGUGAACUAUGCCUGAAUAGGGUGAAGCCAGAGGAAACUCUGGUGGAGGCUCGCAGCGGUUCUGACGUGCAAAUCGAUCGUCAAAUUUGGGUAUA
RNAcentral lists this ribosomal RNA (820 nucleotides) under Exophiala eucalypti. Its description in RNAcentral is "eukaryotic LSU rRNA". It matches the Rfam family "Eukaryotic large subunit ribosomal RNA", at positions 86 to 919 of the family's 3401-position model. The record is from RNAcentral. Lineage: Eukaryota; Fungi; Ascomycota; Eurotiomycetes; Chaetothyriales; Herpotrichiellaceae.